Canis lupus familiaris (dog) is the source of this 163-nucleotide non-coding RNA. The record is from Rfam. NCBI's taxonomy places the organism in Eukaryota, Metazoa, Chordata, Mammalia, Carnivora, Canidae.
UUCCUCCUUCUGGUCUUCCGGCAGGAGGUCAGAGGCCUUGUGGGAAGCCCAGUGGUCUCUCCCUGCUAUGCCCCCCCAUUACUGACACCCACCCCGCAAUGGAUAUCCCCAUCUCUCCUUCCUGGCCUGCCUUCCUCUCAAGCACUCUCAACACUGGCAAGAC